This is a non-coding RNA of Xenorhabdus doucetiae, 193 nucleotides long. Lineage: Bacteria; Pseudomonadati; Pseudomonadota; Gammaproteobacteria; Enterobacterales; Morganellaceae. The record is from Rfam.
CCAAGAAGUAUUGGACGUUGCUGAUCGUCAAGACGGCGAUAAGCGACGUACCCCUAACGGCAGACCUCAAGAGACGAUUAACGUUAACCUGCGUGCGUAACCUUGCGGCAAAUACUUGUUGUGACAAUAAAAGUAUUAAAAGUGUCUUACGGAGCAUGUGAGCAAUGAAAUUACCCAUUUAUUUGGACUAUUC